This 775-nucleotide ribosomal RNA is filed under the name uncultured Neocallimastigales. RNAcentral's name for it is "partial large subunit ribosomal RNA". It matches the Rfam family "Eukaryotic large subunit ribosomal RNA", at positions 26 to 618 of the family's 3401-position model. The record is from RNAcentral. Lineage: Eukaryota; Fungi; Neocallimastigomycota; Neocallimastigomycetes; Neocallimastigales.
CGUCUAUAUACGUAUAGCAUAUCAAUAAGCGGAGGAAAAGAAACUAACAAGGAUUCCCUUAGUAACGGCGAGUGAAGCGGGAAGAGCUCAAAUUUGAAAUCUUCAAGGUUCUACCUUGACGAAUUGUAGUUUAAAGAAGUGUUUUCUGUUAGAGGAGUAGCAAUAGUUCCUUGGAAUGGGACAUCAUAGAGGGUGAGAAUCCCGUAUUUGGUUAUUCUUUCUAGCUUUGUGAUACACUUUCAAAGAGUCGGAUUGUUUGGGAAUGCAGUCCGAAAUGGGUGGUAAAUUUCAUCUAAAGCUAAAUAUUGGCGAGAGACCGAUAGCGAACAAGUACCGUGAGGGAAAGAUGAAAAGAACUUUGAAAAGAGAGUUAAACAGUACGUGAAAUUGUCAAAAGGGAAGCGUUUGACGCCCGUGUUGUUUUUCCGAAAAUCAAUUAAGAGUGGCUUGAUUUUGUGUUGUAUUGACCUUAUCAGCUUUCUUCACUCUUUUUCGAGUCUUUCUUAAUGCACUUUUCGGUUAACAAGUCAACAUCAAUUUCUUUUGUUGUAAAAGGGUAUUUGGAAGGUGGCUUUCUUUUCGGAGAAAGUGUUUAUAGCCUUAUACCUCUACAAUCGGAGAGAUUGAGGUCUGCAGCGUAGAUCCUUCGGGGCUAGAUACACUUGUGCUAAGUUAUAGCUUUUCAUAGACAACUUGUUGACUAUGUUUAGUCAUGUAGCUUACCCGCUUGUGCUAUUUUACCUACGCUUAGGAUGUUGAGUCAUCACACAUCUCU